AAGCACUUGAGCCAUCUUCCACUGAUUUCCCAGGGCAUUAGUGGGGAGCUGAAUCAGAAGUGGAGCAGCCGGGACAGGAACCAGCGCCCAUAUGGGAUGCCGGCACUGCCACCAGAGGCUUAUCCCACUACACCACAGCACCAGCCCCAGGUCAUGGAUUCUUACACAAGAGAGUGGUCUUAGGCCUGAGACUGGACAAACUGGCCAAGAAGGGGUAUAAGAGAUGAGGAGAUGACCAGGUUUAGAACCUCAGGAGACACCAGAAUUUGCAAAUCAGGAGGAAGAGAAGCCGUGAAGAGGUGGUCCUGAGGCAGGAAACAGUGGAAAUCCUGCACCCAGGAGGCUGCUCGGGGGAACAGAGAGGCCGGCUAAGAGCAGCUCCGGGAAAGGUGAUGAACGCUGCCUGAGGACAGCACCGGAGGGCUCCGAGGCCAGAGCCGGCUCGCUGCAGGCGGGAGCUGAGCAAGUGCCCAGCGCAUCUCCUGCUGUAGCUCUGCAGCUGUCCUGGCGAGGGCUGAGCACGUGACCUCGUGACUCACCCACUCCUCACUCCUCUUGUUUGCCCUCAGCUUUGUUUGCUUAUUUGGGUGUUUCGGUUUUCUUCCCACUUACUUGCCUUUCAGGAUAAAACACCGACAAGUGUCCUGGGCUCUUUUUUUUUUCUUUUCUUUUCUUUUAGGCUCUAUAAGGAGUUGGCACAGGAGAUGGGGUUUGAAGAGUUCCAUUUGCACCUGAGGCCUGUUCCCUUUGAGUUUGCAUCACACAAGGAUGAGGUGGAUGGAUCACCGCCUGCCUUUGUAACUUCCCUGCUGGAGGACGCUGGCCAGCUGGACAGGUAUUCUCCUACUGCUCUCGUCUUAGCCAUCUCCGAAGUGGACGACAACCAAAUCGGCAAAUUUAGUUUUUAUACGAAGGAAGCCAUCCUUAAGCUCUUGUUCCAUUCUGGAGUGGAGAAUAUGCAGGUGACCCUGGCAUGCCAAGUUGCUCAGAAAAAUGCCCUGAUGGUGGCUGUCCGGCAGGCAUUCUUCUAUCACACUCCUCGAGGGCACUGUGCUGAGGCCAAGGCAGAUAUGGGGCCAGCGCUGUGGCAUAGUGGGUAAAACCACCACCUGCAGUGCCAGCAUCCCAUCUCCCAGCGUUGGAUCAGGCCAGCUCCAGCCAUUGCAACCAUUUGGGGAGUGAACCAGCAGAUGGAAGAUCUCUCUCUACCUCUGCCUCUGCCUCUGGCUCUCUCUAACUCAGCCUUUCAAAUAAAUAAAUAAAUCUUCAAAAAAAGUUGGCA
This 1282-nucleotide long non-coding RNA is filed under the name Oryctolagus cuniculus (rabbit). RNAcentral's name for it is "lncRNA (ENSOCUG00000038642.1)". Lineage: Eukaryota; Metazoa; Chordata; Mammalia; Lagomorpha; Leporidae. The record is from RNAcentral.